This 222-nucleotide long non-coding RNA is filed under the name Mytilus galloprovincialis (Mediterranean mussel). The record is from RNAcentral. Lineage: Eukaryota; Metazoa; Mollusca; Bivalvia; Mytilida; Mytilidae.
CUUUUUUAGCUCACCUGUCCCGAAGGGACAAGUGAGCUUAUGCCAUCACUUGGCGUCCGUCGUCGUCCGUCGUCUGUCGUCCGUCGUCUGUCGUCUGUCGUCCGUCGUCUGUCGUCAUCUGUCGUCGUAAACUAUUUCAAGAAUCUUCUCCUCUGAAACUACUGGGCCAAAUACUUUCAAACUUUAACUGAAUGUUCCUUAGGGUAUCUAAUUUAUAAAUUG